This is a non-coding RNA of Podarcis lilfordi (Lilford's wall lizard), 70 nucleotides long. The record is from the annotation of a GenBank genome assembly. Lineage: Eukaryota; Metazoa; Chordata; Lepidosauria; Squamata; Lacertidae.
GGGCCCAACUUAGAAGUGGAACAUCUGCUUUUCAUGCAGAAGGCUCCGGGUUCAAUCCCUGGCAUCUCCA